Molecule: ribosomal RNA, 257 nt
Filed under: uncultured Glomus
Lineage: Eukaryota; Fungi; Glomeromycota; Glomeromycetes; Glomerales; Glomeraceae
Description: partial 18S ribosomal RNA
Rfam family: Eukaryotic small subunit ribosomal RNA
Source: RNAcentral
AAGCUCGUAGUUGAUUUCGGGGUCAGCAGGUUGGUCGUGCCAAUGGUAUGAACUGGCCUUGCUGAUUCCUCCCUCUUGAUGAGCCGUAAUGCCAUUAAUUUGGUGUUGCGGGGAAUCAGGACUGUUACUUUGAAAAAAUUAGAGUGUUUAAAGCAGGCAAGCGCUUGAAUACAUUAGCAUGGAAUAAUGAAAUAGGACGUUUGAUCCUAUUUUGUUGGUUUCUAGGAUUGACGUAAUGAUUAAUAGGGAUAGUUGGG